UCCAUUAACACUAGUUUUAAACCUGAAGGUGGAGUGUGGCACCAAACACCUUAAAGGAACCCCAUUAGCUUCCACAACAGAUGUUGUUCAUCUUCUGUCAAAUACAAUCACAUGGAGGAAAAAGCAUGGCAGUGACGGAGAACGAGAAGGGCGAAAGCGGAUCAUUGAAUGAAACAGAUGAACCAGAAUUGGUUUGUAAAAAUGCUGCAACUUCAGUGGUGUGGAACUGGUUUAGCUUUCGUCCGUCAGAUACACAACAAACACUAUUUGUGGUAGGACAUGCUAGCAGGCCGUCGUUAUUACUGUGUUUUUUGUGGAGUUGUAAAGUAUUUUGUCUAGUGUCAAUUAUAUCGUCAGCUACAUCGUUAACGCAAAUUUUCCAAUGUAUAUCGUGAUAAAUAUUUUUGGUCAUAUC
Long non-coding RNA from Oreochromis aureus, 415 nucleotides. RefSeq lists it as uncharacterized. The transcript is spliced from 2 exons. The record is from RefSeq and is a predicted model, not a curated record. NCBI's taxonomy places the organism in Eukaryota, Metazoa, Chordata, Actinopteri, Cichliformes, Cichlidae.